AUGAACGCUGGCGGCGUGCUUAACACAUGCAAGUCGAACGAAGCACUUACAAUUGAUUCUUCGGAAGAGAGAGUUUGUGACUGAGUGGCGGACGGGUGAGUAACGCGUGGGCAACCUGCCUCAUACAGGGGGAUAACACUUAGAAAUAGGUGCUAAUACCGCAUAAGCGCACAGAAUCGCAUGAUUCAGUGUGAAAAACUCCGGUGGCAUACGAUGGACCCGCGUCUGAUUAGCUAGUUGGUGAGGUAACGGCUCACCAAGGCGACGAUCAGUAGCCGGCCUGAGAGGGUGAACGGCCACAUUGGGACUGAGACACGGCCCAAACUCCUACGGGAGGCAGCAGUGGGGAAUAUUGCACAAUGGGGGAAACCCUGAUGCAGCGACGCCGCGUGAGCGAAGAAGUAUUUCGGUAUGUAAAGCUCUAUCAGCAGGGAAGAAAAUGACGGUACCUGACUAAGAAGCCCCGGCUAACUACGUG
RNAcentral lists this ribosomal RNA (478 nucleotides) under uncultured bacterium. RNAcentral's name for it is "bacterial SSU rRNA". It matches the Rfam family "Bacterial small subunit ribosomal RNA", at positions 29 to 507 of the family's 1533-position model. The record is from RNAcentral.